AAAUGCACCAAAAUUAGGCAGAUGUUGAUAAACAGUGAAGAGAAUUCAAUAAAUAACAAUGUAUUUAUUGACUACUAACAAAUUAUGUAUUAAAAAAAAAAACAUAUUUGAAGAGAGAAAAUAAAUAAACAUCAAUAAAAAAUAAAAUACCAAAGUACAUCUUGCGUUACAAAGUGUAAAAAGUCCACAUCUCUGACUUCAUUCUGUGUCUUUCUUUCAGGAGAAACAUCUGAGGAGCAGGUGACGUCCUCAACCAGAAACAACUGAUUUGUGAUUUUAUUUUCAGGAUGCUCUUGGCCUUCUCCCGGAGGAUUGUGGGUAGAUUGCCGACGAUCCCGAGAAGAAGCGAGCGAAGUGAGACCCUUCAAACUUUCUUUGCCAUUCCUCAAUUCUGUUUUCCCCCAAACAAAGAUUUAUACAUAUUUAUAUGAGCCGAUUGACGGGAAGGUGGUCCGGAGGAGGGGAGCAGAAGCGGCGGAACUGCAGAGAAUCGUCCUUCAGCGACUGUCCCGCUCAGUUUGUUUGGAGUCGAACUGUCGCCCAUCUCACGCUUGACCUUGGGCACAGUGACACGGGUGAGUUCUGAAGCUUCGAUUUGACACGUCAAGAUGUUGCAGUAAUGCGAGAUAAUUUUGGGUUUUUUGCCCUCCUUGGAGCAAUCUGAAGUAAGGAAAUGUGGCAGAGUCCUUCUCCAGAGAUUACAGGUAAUACAGUCCAUUGCCCCCAUAAACAUGCUUGACACAAGGCCCUCAUGAUGGAGCGAUUGCUCCAGGAGAGACUUUUUCACACUUUAAUUUGCCUUAAAUGAACUAGAGAAGUCAGCGAGGGCUUUGAGAUGCUGCGCAGAGAGAGAGGCCGCGGUAAACUACCUCUG
This is a long non-coding RNA of Cyprinus carpio (common carp), 874 nucleotides long. Lineage: Eukaryota; Metazoa; Chordata; Actinopteri; Cypriniformes; Cyprinidae. The record is from Ensembl.